RNAcentral lists this long non-coding RNA (2917 nucleotides) under Daucus carota (carrot). Its description in RNAcentral is "long non-coding RNA (DCAR_LNC000363)". The record is from RNAcentral. Lineage: Eukaryota; Viridiplantae; Streptophyta; Magnoliopsida; Apiales; Apiaceae.
GUAAGUGAAUAACCCGGAUAAAAACUUGACCCAUUUACAUAUACCAUCACUGCUAGAGACGAAAUCAGAGUAUUAUUGUGCGAUUAUCAACAUAGCAUAAAGUGAAGCGAUCGCGAAGAAAUGUAAGUAUCUUCAUAUAUAGUAUCUCUAUGUUUAGUGAAGUGAUUUGUGUGUUUUUACUUUACAUGUAUCGCUUAAUUUAUGAUGUCCACUACCUGUUUGAUGAAUCGAUUUUGUUAUAUUCAUGUUCACACACUUAUUUGUUUGCACAGGAGUUACAAGUGCACAUUAGUUGUGUAUCAUAGUGGACAUUUUCUGCAUGUGCCAUAUAGACAUUACUUAUCAAGAACGAGUAAGGCUUAUAAUGAUGUUGAACUUGAAAAUUAGAUGGUUUGAGGAAUUGAAAGUAGCUUUAGGUGAUGUAGUGGGAGAGUUUGAUUCAUUAUAUUAUUAUAAAGAUGGGAAAAGUGUUAGUGGUGGGUUUUCUCUUUUAAGUGUGCUACUAUGAGUCAUAUGAAAGCAGUGAGUAAUGGGGUUGUAACGUUAUUUGUUUAUCAUGUAAGUCCAAGUGGGAGAGAGGUUGGGAAAGAGGUGGUAACUGAAUAGGAGACUCCGGGAGAGAUCGAUAGUGAUGAACAUGGUUGCAGCGAUGAAGAGUUUGUUGAAAUUAGGAGAGCUCCCAGGGCAGAUAGGAAAGAAUAGAAGAAGAGGAAGAUGAACAUUUAAGAGAGUAUGGAGAUUUAGGCAGUGAUAAAGAAGGGUACUCUUUAAGUGCAAAUAGUAGUGACUCAAAAUAUGAUGUUGUGGUGAGUGAGGAUGAGGAGGAGGGAAUGUGCUAUGCUGAGCCAACAAAGAAGAAAACAACAAAUUUUGUUCCGAAAACUUUUAAUAGCAACACACAUGCCAAAGACAUAAAGGGGGAAGUAGGUGUGAUUUUUGUGGAUAAAGAACAAUUUAAAAGUGCAGUGAGAAAUAGUAGUAUGACAAGUGGGAGAUCAUAUAAAUAUUUAACUGAUGAUAAAGGGAGGAUGCAUAUUGUAUGUGCACAAGGUUGCCCCUUCAAAAUGUGGGUCAGCUACAUUAAAGAAAAGGAAGGUUGGCAGAUAAAAACAUUAGCUGAUGAACAUAAUUGUGUUUGGACCUGCAAAAAUAAACUUGUGACUGUGAAGUAUUUAGAGAAGCUAUUUGGAGACAGAAUCAGAAAAAAUCCAAACUGGAAGCUUAGUGAGAUGCAAGAUGAAUUCAAGAGGGUCUUAAAGGUUGAUAUUUGUGAGGCUAAAUGCUGCAGGGUUAGGCAAAAGGCCCUGUUAGCGCGCAGUUGCGAAAAAAAUGAAGGAACACUAUGCCAAUCUGAGGAGGUUUGGGGGGGGGGGAGAUCUUGAGAAGCAACAGAAAUAAUACUAUGAAAAUCUCCACAAUUAGACUACAAGAAUUGGAGAGGGCAUCAAAGGGAGCUGCUGAAAAGAUGAAAGAGUUAAAUCCUGCAGUUUGGUCCAAGGCAUAUUUUGGCACUCAUUCUUGCACUGACAGUACAGAGAACAACAUGAGUGAAUGCUUCAACUCAUGGAUUCUAAAAGAGAGGUACAUGUCUAUCAUAGAUAUGUUUGUUGAAAUUCAUGACAAGCUUAUGGCUAGGAUACAUGAAAAAAGAGAUGACAUGGUGAAUAAGGAUUGCAUUAUUGUGCCAAUAAUUAAAAAAAUGCCUAAUUAUGCUAUCAAAGAAAGUGUAGGUUAUAAGGUUUUGUGGGAUGGGAGAGAGAAUUAUACAGUGAAAAAUACAACAUGUUCUUGUCGAGUCUGGGAAGUAACUGAAGUACCAUGUACUCAUGCAGUCAGUGCCAUUCAACAUAGUAGAAAAAAAUCCAGUAGACUAUGUGGCUAAAUGGUUCACCAAAAAGACCUAUAUGAGACCUUACAGUUAUACUCUAGAGGCCGUCAAAGGUGAAGAGUUUUGGGAGGAUGUUGAGGGUGAUGAUGUGCUACCACCUCUUAUUUCCAAAGUACUUAAGGGCAGACCUAAAAAAUUGAGAAGAAGAGAAGGGUGGAAAGGGUCUAUUAGAUGUGGUAAGAAACAAAGGAUAAUGUAUACUGGUAAAAAAAUGCAUUGUGGGAUUUGUAGAAAGGAAGGACAUAAUAGAUCUAAUUGUCCAGAUAAGCCACAUAAUUAUCAACCACCGCCUAAGAAAAAAGCUAAAAAUAACAAGAAUGCAAUUAAAGAAGAAGAGGAAAUUAGGGAUGAGGUAGAAUUGCAAGGUGAAGAAGAAAUCACCGAUGAGGCAGAAUUAAUGGAAAAACGCUAAGAGGAAUUGCCGAUGAAGAGCCUCCAUGCCAGAAAACCGCAAGUUUGGAUGAUAUUGAGAAAUCUUUGAGGGAGCAAGAUAUACAAAAUCAGCAGAGUAGCAUGAACAAGAGUACCAUGAAAUUUGUAAAUUUUUUAACAUUUUUACUAGUUAAUUAGUACUUUGUAAGGCUUGAUUAUUGAUAUUUGUGUUUGUCAUGUUAGAUGCCUACACCUAGUCUCAAACACUGUGAUAUGAGGUCUGGUAGUACUCUUCCUGCAUCAACUGCACCAGAUGUUAUAGUGAAAAGAAAAGCUAAGGGGUGCAACCAACUUGGAAGCUCACAGUCACAGUCACAUGGACUUGUCACACAAGCAAAGACAAAGACUGGGAACUCUCCAGUGAUAAGGAAUAAAGCUGCUAAAUCUAAGAUUCCAGUGAAGCCUUUCUCAGCACCAAGAAAAAAGAUUUAGUCGUGGAUCAAGUAUCUUUUGCUAAUAUUCUGAUUAUGCCGCCAUACUUAUAUUUUGGUUUCAUGUGUUGGCUUUAAGACUAGUUAUAUACCUUUUGUUUUAUGUACUCAAGAUUGCUGGUAUUAAGAUUUAUUCUUAUAUUUUGUUGUUGCUAUCAAAGACCAC